CAUAAUAGAUAUAUUUUAAUAAUGUUUGGGAGUAGUAUAUAAAUAUACGGCGUGUGACGUAUCAUUGUUUAUGCGCGGUCACACGUUGUUGUCAUUCGCACGGUGACAUUCUAAUGGAUCGGCAGCGACGCGACACGCUCCGUAUGUUACGCAUUAAUUUUCGAGACGCGAUUUUACAAGAGCGGGGAAUUAUAGGAUUAUUCUUUGAUGAAUAAUUAAUGAGUAUAAUUUCGCAUAAUUAUUUAAUUUGUACGAUUAAAUAAGUAGCUUAUGAGUAUAUCGGGGCGACGACUUUUGUUUCGAAGGAAAUAUUUUGCGCGCUUUAUUCGCUUGAAGUAGGUAUCGACGUGAAGUCAAUCGAUGUAAACUACUGAUGACGUCAUUCCGGUGUCGGUAACGAAACGUUGCGAACGCGAGGCGGAUCGAUCCUGAAUCGCGACGCUUUAAAUUGUGAAUGUCACGAAGGAGCGACAACGGUGAAAUAAGAGAGGAGAAGAAAGCCCAAGGCGGCAUCAGGCGAUGGAACAUGAACUAUGCUGUGUAAUUCGGUCACUGCGCAACGGACUGAAAGUCAUUGAUCGCAGCUGCGCAAAUACCAAUGAAUGCCAGUCUGGAUGCUGUGCGAGGGAGAGGAGAGAUAGGUAAAUGAAAUGGUGAGAUAAGUGAAAUAUAGUGCAAUAAAUUUAUUUAUUUAUCUAUCUCGGACAGAGCUAAGGAUAGAUACGUGUUAUUCUCAUAAUUAUAUUGAGAUGUACAUACAAUACUUCCGCGUACAAAAAUUAUAUAUUGAGAUAUAAAAUACAAAAAACUUCAAGUAAAUGUUUUUUUUAAAUAAAAUUUCAAGCUCGGUAGCAAUGUUAAAAUUCAAUAUUGGAAAUUUAAAAGUUAUUGGGAAAAGUCAAUUCCAAAUUAGACUAUUCUUGAACGAUGUUGUAGAAAAGAUAUCUAAUCUUUACAAAAUGAUAUAGCUAAACUAUGUGUGUUAGAGCAUGUAAGUCGUGAAAAAUGUUUUGUCUAUCUUCUCGGAUAAAAUGUAGAUUUUAAGCUUAUGUAUAGAUACAAUGGAACUCGAAAGCAAAAGUAAUUCGCCCAACGUGGGGCUCGAACCCACGACCCU
This is a long non-coding RNA of Formica exsecta, 1117 nucleotides long. RefSeq lists it as uncharacterized. The transcript is spliced from 3 exons. The record is from RefSeq and is a predicted model, not a curated record. NCBI's taxonomy places the organism in Eukaryota, Metazoa, Arthropoda, Insecta, Hymenoptera, Formicidae.